CGUAGCCGGCCGGACAAGUCCGUUGGGAAAUCCACGCGCCUAACGCGUGGGCGUCCAGCGGAAACUGUCCGGCUUGGGGCCGGAAGACCCGAGGGGUACGUCCGGGGUAGGAGUGAAAUCCCGUAAUCCUGGACGGACCGCCGGUGGCGAAAGCGCCUCGGGAGGACGGACCCGACGGUGAGGGACGAAAGCCAGGGUCUCGAACCGGAUUAGAUACCCGGGUAGUCCUGGCCGUAAACGAUGUCCGCUAGGUGUGGCGCAGGCUACGAGCCUGCGCUGUGCCGUAGGGAAGCCGUGAAGCGGACCGCCUGGGAAGUACGUCUGCAAGGAUGAAACUUAAAGGAAUUGGCGGGGGAGCACUACAACCGGAGGAGCCUGCGGUUUAAUUGGACUCAACGCCGGACAUCUCACCAGCACCGACAGUAGCUGUGAAGGUCAGUUUGAUGAGCUUACUGGAGCUACUGAGAGGAGGUGCAUGGCCGCCGUCAGCUCGUACCGUGAGGCGUCCUGUUAAGUCAGGCAACGAGCGAGACCCGCACUCCUAGUUGCCAGCAAUACCCUUGUGGUAGUUGGGUACACUAGGAGGACUGCCGCUGCCAAAGCGGAGGAAGGAACGGGCAACGGUAGGUCAGUAUGCCCCGAAUGUGCUGGGCAACACGCGGGCUACAAUGGUCGAGACAGUGGGAUGCCAUCCCGAGAGGGAGCGCUAAUCCCCUAAACCCGAUCGUAGUUCGGAUUGAGGGCUGAAACCCGCCCUCAUGA
This 762-nucleotide ribosomal RNA is filed under the name uncultured Halobacteria archaeon. RNAcentral describes it as "bacterial SSU rRNA". It matches the Rfam family "Archaeal small subunit ribosomal RNA", at positions 520 to 1279 of the family's 1478-position model. The record is from RNAcentral. Lineage: Archaea; Methanobacteriati; Methanobacteriota; Halobacteria.